Long non-coding RNA from Epinephelus fuscoguttatus (brown-marbled grouper), 4099 nucleotides. RefSeq lists it as uncharacterized. NCBI's taxonomy places the organism in Eukaryota, Metazoa, Chordata, Actinopteri, Perciformes, Serranidae. The record is from RefSeq and is a predicted model, not a curated record. The transcript is spliced from 4 exons.
UCUCUCAGCUGAUUGUAAACAGAUAAGAUGGCGACAAGACGCAACUUCAGUGUUCAUUUAAAGCUAGACGUUUUGAAAUAUUCUGAACAAAUGUCGGGGGAAUAUGCCGCGGGGCAUAUGACGCCUGGUAUGCAGAGGACGGCAACAAGACCUUCACAAAAGGAGGGGGAACAGGAGAGCAGCUGACAAACGUCUCCAGGUCCAGUAAUUUCCUCUUUGGUUGGUGUCAUGACUGCCCAGUACCUGGACAACUGAGCCGUGGCAGUACACAGACCAAAGGAGUUGAGGUUGUAUGAAGACACAUCUUGAUGUUUCUUGAUGGUCUGAGGGAAGAUCACCUUUGAGAUCCACCAUCCUGACCUGGGAAACUUUCCAUCAGCUGAAUGGACCCUGUCAGCAGGGAAGAUGGCAGGAUUGUCCCAGUCCAUGUGUGAUGGCACUCUGGGGGCCCUCUCCUUCCUCAGGCAGGCCACAUUGUGGAGGACAGCACAGGCCACAGUGAUGUCACAUCCCCUCAAAGGGCUGACCCUUAAGUGGUUAAGACAGUGAAAGCGUGCCUUCAGGAAGCCAAAGGUCAUUUUGAUCCUGGCCCUUGUCCUGGCAUGGGCAAUGAUUAUAGGAUUAUAGCAGAGGAACAUGGAGCAUGAGGAGCAAAGAUAAGAUAAGGUAAGGUAAGACAAGAUAAGAUAAGAUAAGAUAAGAUAAGAUAAGAUAAGAGCAACUUUAUUUAUCCCAAAGGGAAAUUCAAUUAAGUCAGUGAGCUCAUCUAUUUAUCAAAGAGUUAUACACUCUGAUGGAGUUACAUUUACACAAUUUCACUCACAUCUGCAGUCAAUUUCACUUAGAAUUUCAACUGAUUCAUAAUCAGAGUACAACUACGUUUUCGUAGAUGUUAAUUAACUAUUUGGAUUGUAAUUGUGAUGGUAUUUGUGCACUACUUACACAAUCAGGCGGUCUGCAAUACUUUGCCAUGCUUUCUCUCGUUGUUUUACAACUGCGGCGGUGUUGCCUUUCUUUUUGAUUUGAUCCUUUACCUCUUCAUAAGCCUCCAUGAGGAUUUCUGCCUCCGAUGGGGAAAAGUACACCGCUCUUGUUGCCAUGGUGAAUCGGUGAUUCUGUGAUCAAUGGCUACACCCUAAUACACCGGGCACCAGGACGAGAGAGAGAGAAUAUCAAAAAUAAAACAUAAAGUCACUGACUUUGAUUCUCUGCCUGAUCAAACUAAAAUGCAACACAUCCUUGGAGAGAACAGAGUCAGCAGCUUAGCAGCAGCAACAUAUGUCAGGUUAUGCCAAAGCCUGAGGGACAACCAUCACAACACCUGACACACCUGUCUAUAUUUACAGUCCUUGUAACUCACAAUCUACAUUUUUCUUUAUUCAUUUUUUUUUCUAUAUUAUAUAUUGGUGUAUUGUAUUGUAGAUUGGUGUAUUUUGUAUUAUAUAUCAUAUAUUUAAUCUUUUUUUUAUAGUUUUCUGACUUACUUUUAUUAUUGUACUUUAUUUGUAAAUUUUAAUGUCUUUGGCAAUAUUGUUAAUCUACAGUCAUGCCAAUAAAGCUUAUUGAAUUGAGAGAGAGAGAGAGAGAGAGAGAGAGAGAGAAGGUGCCUGGUGUAUUAUUGGGAGCCCUCCGGCAGACUUUUAAUGCACAUUUCCCAAUGAUUCAAAUCACAUCUUGCUAACUCGGCCAUUCUGGAUGUCACUAACUCGGCUUCUUCUCCGGAGCCUUUGUGCUCCACUGUCUCUCAGGUUAACUCGUAUUGCAGCAGUGCCUGGAUAGUGUGACGUGUAUGGUUGUGCUGCUGCCGUGGUCCUGCCAGAUGCCUCCUGCUGCUGCUGUUAUCAUUAGUCAUACUUCUAUUGAUAUUAUACACAUAUGAUUAUUGUCACAUAUGUAUACUAUCAGAUUAACAUACUUUCAGCAUAUUGUACCACAGUAGCCAGAACUAUAAUUAUAAUAUUAUUAGGAGAUGCCUCCUGCUGCUGCUGUUAUCAUUAGUCACACUUCUACUAGGCCUAAGUCAGCCUAACUAGGGGCUGGUACAAGGCAAGCCUGAGCCAGCCCUAACUAUAAGUUUUAUCAAAGAGGAAAGUCUUAAGUCUAGUCUUAAAUGUGGAGAUGGUGUCUGCCUCCUGGACCGUAACAGGAAGAUGAUUCCACAGGAGAGGAGCCUGAUAGCUGAAGGCUCUUGCUCCCGAUCUACUUUUGGAGACUUUAGGGACCACGAGUAACCCUGUAUUCUCCGAGCACAGUGUUCUGGUGGGAUAAUAUGGCACUAUGAGCUCUCUAAGAUAUGACAGUGUUGGGGUCAACAUAUAUUUACCUUACACAGCAGCACCGAAAAUGGGAACAUAAAUUCGGGCUUCACAUGGAGGCACCAAAUAUGUUGGGAUUUAAUUGACUAUCGGAAGUAAUUAAUGAUUAUUAUUAAUAAUUAAUAAUUAUGUUAAAUAAUGUGACUUAAUUAACAUUAAAUCACCUCGUGGGGCACCAUUCCCGUAAAGGGAAAAAUGAUAGCUAGCUAAAGAUAUCAGUCUCAUAAAAUACGCCAAACUAUUAAUUUGGAGUUUUGAUUAAUAAUUAAAUUAAUGACAACAACCAAAAUUAACAGUAACGCCUGAGGGAUUUCGGAGUUCUUGACGCAGCAGAGGUUGACUAUUCAUUCACUCUUGUGCAACAUUAAACAGACAGCAGGACACUUGAGGAAAGUUACAACGCCUCGACCAAUGUGAUAUUUACUCCACAGUAAAGAGGUUGUUUCACAAGAAAUUAAGAUUUUGCAAAUUAUGACACUGGGUCCUAAUCCAUAGGUUUUAUAAUUACUUUUGCAAAUCUUUUCAUUUAUUUCAUUUGUACUUUUUGUAACCUUUUAAUAUGGAUGUUUUCAUGAAUGCAAGCUUUGACUUAAUUUUGUUAAACUGUUUGUGUAAUGGUUAGAAUUUUUGUGAUUAAAAAGUGGAUCAGACAAAAUUGACUUUAGAGUAAAAGCAAAUUUUCUGAAAGCUGUCAUUCAUCAGUUUCCUGUGAUGACUGGGAAUAUACCCAGCCAGCACACUCAUGUGGGGCCCAGAUGGGCUCCACCAGGGCUGAUAUGUGGGGCCCAGUCUGGCUGCCCAUCUGGGGCCCAGCUAAAUUUGUCCUCAGUUUCCAUGGAGGCCCCACGUGUGUUAGCCCUGAUGGGCUGAUGAUGGGCCCUUGCUGGGCUUCAUGUGGGUCCCACAUGGGCAGAACUGUUUUUCCCCAUGUGGGUCCCACAGAUUUUCCCUUACAUGGGUUGAUGACGGGCCCUUGUUGGGCUUCAUACAGGUCCCACGUGGGCAAAACCAGUUUCUCCCAUGUGGAGCCUAUGGAGUUUUUCAUGGGUUGGUGAUAGGACACAACUCAGUUUUAUGUAGUGUUUGUGUGGAACACAGCAGAUGAAUAUGGACUAAAUCACAUUCACAUGGAUUCCUAAUUACAAACAUAUAUAUAUUAUAUAUAUAUAUAUAUAUAUGUAUAUGUUUCCAUCCAGGGGGUCAGUGUGGACAUUGUAGAGGACUAUAAGUACCUGGGGGUACACACUGACAAUAUACUGGACUGGGUUAAGAACACUAAUGCUCUCUACAGGAAGGGCCAGAGCCGUCUCUAUUUUCUGAGGUGACUGAGGUCCUUCAACAUCUGCCAGACUAUGCUCAGGAUUUUCUAUGAGUCUGUGGUGGCCAGUACUAUCCUCUAUGCUGUUGUGUGCUGGGGCAGCAAGCUGAGGGUGGCGAACGCCAACAGACUCAACAAACUGAUCCGCAAGGCCAGUGACGUUGUGGGAACAGAAUGUGACUCUCUGAUGGUGGUGUCAGAGAGGAGGAUGCUGUCUAGGCUAUGAACUAUCUUGGACAAUGUCUCACACCCACUCCACCAUGUGCUGGUCAGGCACAAGAGUACUUUCAGUGGGAGACUCAUACCACCAAGAUGUACCACUGAGCACCACAGGAAAUCAUUCCUGCCUGUGGCCAUCAAACUGUACAACUCCUCCCUCUGAGUGGCCCUGAGACUUUUUCACACACACUGCAAAAAUCCAGUGUAACUUGUGCAAUAACCCCAUUUCACCCUGACUGUAUAUAUU